CUCCGAUCUUCAUUGCUAAAGGGACCCCCAUCAUGUGCCUGUGGCAGAUCAGGACACCUCCUUUGGUGCCUGAUAUUGUUAUGCACCGCAGACAUCCGUCCAGAAGCUGUGGUACAGGUGGCCAGGACGUGCCCAGUUCCAGCCCAAGUGUUGACCAAGGAUAGAAAUACAGCCUGUAUCUCGCCCUGGAGAGCAGACCUUCCCCUCCUGGUACCCCGAAACAUCUGUAUUUCUCCCCAUGAGUCUUUGAGCCUUCAGGAUCACUGGAAGGAAUGCAAUGCCAUCAAUGCUACUGUCAGAUCUCAUGCAGCACUCGGGGAUGGUCUGCAUGGCACUGAUGGAGCAUAGGAUGGACCUGCAGCUCACGGCCAUGUGCCUCCAGUGACACCGUCGAGCUCUGGCCCAUAACAGAAUAUCACCGUUCGCUGGCCGUCACUCGUCUUGAGUCGUACCAGCACGCAUCACGAUGCAUCGGAUCUCUGCCAUAGAAAAGCUCACCCUGCAGUCAACUCGACAUUGGCUCACGCCGUGAAGGCAGUUCACCUGUGCUGCUGGGAGGGGUGGAGCCUCUCCAGGAUCCCACUGAAGUGCUGACUGCCCCUGGGGAAGGAUCUCUUGCUGGAGAUUACUGUCAUGUUGAAUAUUGCGAGCCUACGACAUCAGCUCACGAGCAGGUUAUGGAGAACCACAGAGCUGCAGCCAGGAAAUUGCUGAUGAAGGAAUCCCAGCAAGCACAGGGUGAAAGAGUGGCUGCCAGGAAAUAGGAGCUGGAGCAGAUAGGGUGAAGCAGGGGCGCGUCCUCAGAGCUCGGUGUCCUCACAGCUCUGGCUGUGAGGAGGACCUCAGUCCUGGUCCCUCGGGUCCAUGGGUCCCAGCACAGCCAUCCCACAUGGUGCAGCCAUUGUCUUGCUGUAGAAGCAGCUCAUUGCCCAGCUGGAAAAGCAGCUGCAGACUGAGACCAAGGAGAUCAAGGUGCUGCGCCAGGAGAAACAACGCCUGCAAGAGGAGCUGGAGGUGGAGAAUGCCUGCAGCAUCAGAUGGAGCUGGAGGCAGCCCACGUGCCUGGAGCUGUGCUGCUGGAGCUGGUGGAGGCACAGCUGGACCUGAACAGGAUGUACCAGGACACGUUUCAGAUGAACCAGCUACUGAACUCUAUUUGGUGCAGUCCAUCCAGACAGACCACCCUGCCCACCCCUGGGAUACCAGCGGGGCUCCGGCAUGGGAAGCAGCUGCAGGUUUGGCAUGGCUCUCUCUGGAGGCACUUCUGCAAGCAAAGAACCAUGAAAGCUUUCCAUCAUCUGUGUCACGCGUAACGGCACAGUGCCAUCUGAGGAGCAGAUGGUACCAGAGGAUGGUGCAGGGACAGGGCACGCACGUGCAGCUCUGUGCUCUCACUCCUGCAGGCGUGCCUGGCUGACAUUAGGGCUGUGAGCUGGCAGCUCACAAAGGAAGUAAAAAGCCAUGACAUACUCAUACCAUCUGCUAGAGCUUCCAUCCGGGGAGCCAGCUGGGAUUCUGCAUCCCAUUCAUCUCCACUCACAUCUGUAAACAAACAGGACAGAGCAGCUCAUAUCAAACACGUCCAUAUCCACAUCCAGAUGGAAACAAGGAGGGAUCGCUCCACAGCACUCUUCUCUCCCUUCCACACAGCAGCAUCUCAGCCAUACAUGCCAGGUGCCUGCAGUGGCACUGUGCUGAUACACAACAAUCCAUGUGUGGAACUGUCUGGAGACGGGGAGGGGAAGAGAACUGAAAGGGGACAAAGAGGGGAGGAAAAUAGAACGGUAGGGGGAGCCCCAAAGGCUCUGUCCUGGCAGUGUUCCUGAGGUUCCACCUCAGGAACAAAAGCUGUGUCUGACCAGAACACUGGAUAGAAAGGACCAGUGUAGUCAUCUAGAAUCACAAUCAGAUAAGAGAAGUUCCCAUUAAAUCUGUGAUCUCUUUUUCCAUCAAAGACCAGAGCUGGGUCAGGUAAUGAGAUGGGAUAAACAUCCAGGUUGUCAGUUCCACAGCUACAGUGGAACAGGGAGACCCACCGGCUGGCCACAGGCAGGUUGCAAAACACUCUGCAGGCCACGUGCAGUACCAUCAUGGACCGCACAGACCAACAUUUGGGCACUCAGGCCUUACUUACCACUGCAGAUCAGUGGUGGACACAAAGGGAGGUGACACUAAAGCAUGAGAGGAAAAUAUGUAGCCAGAACUUUGCUCUCCUGAAGUUCAGAGUCCUGGUCCACUUUUUGCCAGAUCUGCAUUCUUCAAGAUCACAAACUCCAUCAAGGCAUUCAUUACAGCCCAGGCUGCCUCCAGUCUUAACCUCUCUAACGCUCUCCUCUGCACUGGUGAGCACCAAGUCCAGUAAGGCUUCACACCAGGUCGGUCCAUCUGUUACUGGACCAGCAGGUCGGCUUUGGCAGACCCCAGCAAUCUCCUCUACUGUCUGCCCCCUGCUGUGCUGCUCUCCUAGCAGGUAUCCAGGCAGUUGAAAUCCCCCAUCAGGACAAGAGCCUGCGAGCGUGACACCUCUUGCAGCUGAAGCAAGAAGGGCUCGUCAACAGCUUCCUCCUGAUCGGGUGGGCUGCAGCAGACUCCGACCACCGGGUGCUCUUUGCUGGGCCGGUCCUUGAUUUUUACCCACAGCUCUUGACCCAAUCACAGCCAUUCCUCAGACACAGCUCCUCGCAGUCCAUCCGCUCCUAGCACAGGGCAGCUCCCUUGCCAUAGCUGCCUCCCCUCCCCUCCCCUUUCCACUCCCCUCCCCUCCCCUUUCCACUCCUCUCCCUUCCUUUCCCCUCCCCUCCCCUCCCCUGCGUCCUUUGGGCUCAUGAAAGCUAUUUUCAUCCCGGUGUAGAUGUGGGUGUAUUCUCCUGCAGUCCUGCGCUGCCUGUGGGAUGCAGAGUAUCAAAGAAGAAAGCACCAGUAGCUUGUCAGUCUGUGAUUUAUGUUGGCUGUACCAUCCCCGGGGAUACCGAAGCUUGGGGAUGACCUCAGCUGCACAUCAGUACAGAUAUUAAACAUGAUGGGCCCCAAUCCCGACCCCUGAGGAAUGUGAGAGGCGCUCAACUCCAAUGACUUCUGAUCAGGAAAUUAUCUCAGUGAAGCAGCAAAGUUUUUAUUCAUUACUGCAACAGUGGGUGGGCAGCCCCCUUAUGGCAGGGAGACAUUGGGCGCACGAUCAGUUGAACACUUCUCGUUAUAUAUGAACACUAUAUUAUAUAUCUUUCUCCCAUCACAGGUUUUUACUGUUUCCUACUGGCCAAGUACUCCAGGCGUACAAUCCAUGCAACACAGUUAAUAAUUCAUCUUUCCAUAUGAGAGGUACCACCAACCUCACGUUUUCAGGAUGCAUACAGGAGGGCAAUAUUUCUUGAAGCUGUUACGCCUGUUUCAUCCUAUGCCAAGCCUUCCUUACCCUGCUCCUUAUUUUUCCUUCCCUUACUACUUAGAAAGGACAAAUAGUGUAUUAGUAGGCAGAAACCAGCAGACUAGGAGACACUGAAAGUUAAAUUCUAUUUUAACGUCCUGGAGACAAAAAGAAAAAGCCCAGUACGUGUCAGGAUCAAACCACUGUUCUCCAUUUUAUACACAGCCAAAAUGCAGAACAUUUUAUGGUGUGUUCCAAGACACCAAACGUGCUCUUUAACAAGCCUUUAACUCUGACAUUAGCAGCUCAUAAGAUUAAAAUGGAACUAUGAAACAUU
This is a long non-coding RNA of Centrocercus urophasianus (Greater sage-grouse), 3701 nucleotides long. RefSeq lists it as uncharacterized. The transcript has 6 exons. Lineage: Eukaryota; Metazoa; Chordata; Aves; Galliformes; Phasianidae. The record is from RefSeq and is a predicted model, not a curated record.